CUGAAACCCAAUCUGAGCACAGUGCAGACUAAAUAAAAUUUCAUUUUGAUUUGGCCUCCCGCUGAGAAUGGGACUGCUUUGUUUCAGCCGACAGAACAAGGAAGCCAGAAAGAUAGCCACCCCAAUCAGCUAAGACAGUAUGGAUACUCGCAGAAUCACAUUCUGAUUAUGGAGCUGCAGCCUGCAGGUACCCCUGGGAGUAACAUUAGGUGAUGGCAUAUUGUUGCUAUCAGAAACAUGGAGUGUGAGAUGACUACUCCCGAAAUACUGGAUCAUAACUACGCCUGAUUUCCACAUUCACCAGGCACAGAUCAGAGCCAUUCCUGCAAAUGGUUCCAUGACUCAGGAACUGACAACAGCAACUUCCAAAGGAACAAAGGAAAAGAAUGACAAUCCGGAGUGUGAGCAGGUCAUGUCUAGCUUAAAGGCAGAGGACCCUAAGACCUUGAAGCGAUACUUCCAGAUUCAAGUCUACGCAGUCUCGCAAUCACCUAGGUGCAGUCCUUUCCACUAUGGUUUUCCCAGAAAUUCUUCCUUCGGUCAUGAGACGACAGGAAAAAAUGGAUUGUCACACUGGACUAUUACAAAAAUUUACUCCUGUGAGGAGGAUAAGUCCUGUGGGUGACUCAAGCUUCCCUGUUACAGCAUGCAAAUAUAAUAUUGUGCCACACACACCAUGGCUGAGCUUUCCUUAAACAAAACGCAACACCUAUUUGAAGCAAAACUGACACAGGGAGAAUGUUUGGUCUUUCAGCCCACAAAUUUCACUCGGAGCUAUACAUGCAGAAGAGGGGGUAAAACAGCCCUGUGGAAUAGUCACUGAAGAUUAAUGGCAUGUGAAGAAAAAUGAUACUGAGCAGGCGGAACAAAGUAUGAACCACCCACGCAAAUAAAGUUGGACAAGGGCUCAUUUUUUAAAAAGCAGCCCAAACAGCAGGAUGGCUAGGGGGGUAGGAAUAAACCUGGGUCGUUUUAGGGUAAUUUUGCAUAUCUCAGGCCUUUCUGGAAACAUGAAAAGAAGCCAAACAGAGACUGUUGGUGUGGGUGUUUUCACACUCUUUUUCUGGGGUCCAACUGGUAAGUAGGAUUUAACACUUCAUUCCUCUACUUUUAUUUGGAAAAAUGAGGAAUUUGCACCAUCAAAGGAAAUGUUCAGUCUCCGGUAUUGUACAUAUAAUACACCUUUUCUCAGAAUACAUAGGUAUAGGCACAGAAUCAUACAUACAUAAAAACACACACACAUGCACACACAUAUAUAGUGCAGUCCAUCCUCUAUUUUUAGAGCAUAAUGGAAAUAUACUGAUUCCAAGCUGUUCUUUUCUCGGGAUAAAUGCAGACUAGAAAAGAAGCAGAUGUUUCCCAUGAGGUAAGUUGAGCAUCACCUCAGGGGCGCUGGUGGGUUAGAGGCAAUAUAUAAAUAUUUUCAGUAAAUAAAUAAUAAAUAAUUGUUCACCAGUUUCGAUA
Sceloporus undulatus (fence lizard) is the source of this 1464-nucleotide long non-coding RNA. RefSeq lists it as uncharacterized. The transcript is spliced from 6 exons. NCBI's taxonomy places the organism in Eukaryota, Metazoa, Chordata, Lepidosauria, Squamata, Phrynosomatidae. The record is from RefSeq and is a predicted model, not a curated record.